Long non-coding RNA from Maniola jurtina (meadow brown), 69 nucleotides. RefSeq lists it as uncharacterized. NCBI's taxonomy places the organism in Eukaryota, Metazoa, Arthropoda, Insecta, Lepidoptera, Nymphalidae. The record is from RefSeq and is a predicted model, not a curated record. The transcript has 3 exons.
AGAAUAAUAAGUUAAUAAGUCCACCCGUACAAAGCCGGGAUGAGUGAUCUAGUAUCUAGUUAUAAAUAA